GUUAAAACUCAAAUGAAUUGACGGGGGCCCGCACAAGCGGUGGAGCAUGUGGUUUAAUUCGAUGCAACGCGAAGAACCUUACCUGGUCUUGACAUCCACAGAAGAAUCCAGAGAUGGAUUUGUGCCUUCGGGAACUGUGAGACAGGUGCUGCAUGGCUGUCGUCAGCUCGUGUUGUGAAAUGUUGGGUUAAGUCCCGCAACGAGCGCAACCCUUAUCCUUUGUUGCCAGCG
RNAcentral lists this ribosomal RNA (231 nucleotides) under Salmonella enterica. Its description in RNAcentral is "partial 16S ribosomal RNA". It matches the Rfam family "Bacterial small subunit ribosomal RNA", at positions 893 to 1123 of the family's 1533-position model. The record is from RNAcentral. Lineage: Bacteria; Pseudomonadati; Pseudomonadota; Gammaproteobacteria; Enterobacterales; Enterobacteriaceae. RNAcentral also lists the same sequence under 2 other names.